This 73-nucleotide transfer RNA is filed under the name Elusimicrobiota bacterium. RNAcentral describes it as "tRNA-Thr". It matches the Rfam family "tRNA". Rfam says of the family: Transfer RNA (tRNA) molecules are approximately 80 nucleotides in length. Their secondary structure includes four short double-helical elements and three loops (D, anti-codon, and T loops). RNAcentral also lists the same sequence under 1 other name. The record is from RNAcentral. Lineage: Bacteria; Pseudomonadati; Elusimicrobiota.
GCUGGGGUAGCUCAGUCGGUAGAGCAUCUGCAUGGUAAGCAGAAGGUCGUGGGUUCAACUCCCAUCCCCAGCU